RNAcentral lists this ribosomal RNA (508 nucleotides) under uncultured bacterium. RNAcentral describes it as "bacterial SSU rRNA". It matches the Rfam family "Bacterial small subunit ribosomal RNA", at positions 8 to 507 of the family's 1533-position model. The record is from RNAcentral.
AGAGUUUGAUCAUGGCUCAGAGUGAACGCUGGCGGCAGGCCUAAUACAUGCAAGUCGAACGGCAGCACAGCAGAGCUUGCUCUGUGGGUGGCGAGUGGCGGACGGGUGAGGAAUACGUGGGAAUCUGCCCAGUCGUGGGGAUAACGUAGGGAAACUUACGCUAAUACCGCAUGCGCCCUUCGGGGGAAAGCCGGGGACCUUCGGGCCUGGCGCGAUUGGAUGAGCCCACGUCGGAUUAGCUAGUUGGCGGGUAAAGGCCCACCAAGGCGACGAUCCGUAGCUGGUCUGAGAGGAUGAUCAGCCACACUGGAACUGAGACACGGUCCAGACUCCUACGGGAGGCAGCAGUAGGGAAUAUUGGACAAUGGGCGCAAGCCUGAUCCAGCCAUGCCGCGUGAGUGAAGAAGGCCCUCGGGUUGUAAAGCUCCUUUGUCCGGAAAGAAAAGCGCCGGGUUAAUACCCUGGUGUCCUGACGGUACCGGAAGAAUAAGCACCGGCUAACUUCGUG